UACUGCUCAGUAACACGUCGAUAAUCUGCCCUUAGGUAAGGGAUAACCUCGGAAACCUGAGGAUAACACCUUAUAGAGAAGUAAUCUGGAAUGGUGCUUCUUGAAAAGCAAUGCCUAAGGAUGAGUUGGCGGCGGAUUAGGCUGAUGGCGGGGUAACGGCCCACCAUACCUAUGAUCCGUAGGGGCCAUGAGAGUGGUAGCCCCGAGAAGGGUACUGAGAUACUGACCCUAGCCCUACGGGGUGCAGCAGGCGCGAAAACUUUACAAUGCACGAAAGUGUGAUAGGGGGAACCCAAGUGCUCAUGCAUAGCAUGGGCUUUUGCCAAGAAUAAAUACCUUGGCGAAUAAGUGGUGGGUAAGACUGGUGCCAGCAGCCGCGGUAAU
Molecule: ribosomal RNA, 384 nt
Filed under: uncultured euryarchaeote
Lineage: Archaea; Methanobacteriati; Methanobacteriota
Description: bacterial SSU rRNA
Rfam family: Archaeal small subunit ribosomal RNA
Source: RNAcentral